Molecule: long non-coding RNA, 89 nt
Organism: Periophthalmus magnuspinnatus
Lineage: Eukaryota; Metazoa; Chordata; Actinopteri; Gobiiformes; Gobiidae
Exons: 3
Source: RefSeq, a predicted model, not a curated record
UUUUAGUCCUGGUUUAGUCCAGGUUUUAGUCCAGGUUUAGUCCUGGUUUAGUCCAGGUUUUAGUCCAGGUUUAGUCCUGGUUUAGUCCA